UACGAAGGGGGCUAGCGUUGUUCGGAAUCACUGGGCGUAAAGCGCACGUAGGCGGAUGUGUCAGUCAGGGGUGAAAUCCCGGAGCUCAACUUCGGAACUGCCUCUGAUACAGCACGUCUUGAGUUCGAGAGAGGUGGGUGGGAUUCCUAGUGUAGAGGUGAAAUUCGUAGAUAUUAGGAAGAACACCGGUGGCGAAGGCGGCAUCCUGGACCAACACUGACACUGAGGAGCGAAAGCCAGGGGAGCAAACGGG
Molecule: ribosomal RNA, 253 nt
Filed under: uncultured bacterium
Lineage: Bacteria
Description: partial 16S ribosomal RNA
Rfam family: Bacterial small subunit ribosomal RNA
Source: RNAcentral